RNAcentral lists this ribosomal RNA (954 nucleotides) under Sediminibacter furfurosus. Its description in RNAcentral is "bacterial SSU rRNA". It matches the Rfam family "Bacterial small subunit ribosomal RNA", at positions 56 to 1012 of the family's 1533-position model. The record is from RNAcentral. Lineage: Bacteria; Pseudomonadati; Bacteroidota; Flavobacteriia; Flavobacteriales; Flavobacteriaceae.
UGCAGUCGGACGGUAACAGCACUUCGGUGGCUGACGAGUGGCGCACGGGUGCGUAACGCGUAUGCAACCUACCUCUUACAGGGGGAUAGCCCAGAGAAAUUUGGAUUAAUACCCCAUGGCGUACAGAUGCGGCAUUGCGUCUGUACUAAAGAUUCAUCGGUAAGAGAUGGGCAUGCGUUCUAUUAGCUGGUUGGUGCGGUAACGGCGCACCAAGGCGACGAUAGAUAGGGGCCCUGAGAGGGGGAUCCCCCACACUGGUACUGAGACACGGACCAGACUCCUACGGGAGGCAGCAGUGAGGAAUAUUGGACAAUGGGCGGGAGCCUGAUCCAGCCAUGCCGCGUGCAGGAAGACUGCCCUAUGGGUUGUAAACUGCUUUUGUACGGGAAGAAACACCCCCAUGCGUGGGGGCUUGACGGUACCGUAAGAAUAAGGAUCGGCUAACUCCGUGCCAGCAGCCGCGGUAAUACGGAGGAUCCGAGCGUUAUCCGGAAUCAUUGGGUUUAAAGGGUCCGUAGGUGGAAGGUUAAGUCAGAGGUGAAAUCCUGCAGCUCAACUGUAGAAUUGCCUUUGAUACUGGCCGUCUUGAGUCGUUGUGAAGUGGUUGGAAUAUGUAGUGUAGCGGUGAAAUGCAUAGAUAUUACAUAGAACACCGAUUGCGAAGGCAGAUCACUAACAACGUACUGACACUGAUGGACGAAAGCGUGGGGAGCGAACAGGAUUAGAUACCCUGGUAGUCCACGCCGUAAACGAUGGAUACUAGCUGUCCGGACUUCGGUCUGGGUGGCUAAGCGAAAGUGAUAAGUAUCCCACCUGGGGAGUACGUUCGCAAGAAUGAAACUCAAAGGAAUUGACGGGGGCCCGCACAAGCGGUGGAGCAUGUGGUUUAAUUCGAUGAUACGCGAGGAACCUUACCAGGGCUUAAAUGUAAGUUGCAUGGGGCAGAGAUGCCCC